GCCCGGUUAGCUCAAUCGGUAGAGCGUGAGACUCUUAAUCUCAAGGUUGCGGGUGAGUAGCACAUUAAAAAAAUACGACGUAUAGCAAGAUUUACUAAUUCCCGCUAGGUUCGACCCCCGCAUCGGGCU
Xylaria curta is the source of this 129-nucleotide non-coding RNA. Lineage: Eukaryota; Fungi; Ascomycota; Sordariomycetes; Xylariales; Xylariaceae. The record is from the annotation of a GenBank genome assembly.